RNAcentral lists this ribosomal RNA (883 nucleotides) under uncultured bacterium. RNAcentral's name for it is "bacterial SSU rRNA". It matches the Rfam family "Bacterial small subunit ribosomal RNA", at positions 36 to 916 of the family's 1533-position model. The record is from RNAcentral.
CUGGCGGCGUGCCUAACACAUGCAAGUCGAACGGAACUGUUUUGAAAGAUUUCUUCGGAAUGAAUUUGAUUUAGUUUAGUGGCGGACGGGUGAGUAACGCGUGAGUAACCUGCCUUCGAGAGGGGGAUAACAUUCUGAAAAGAAUGCUAAUACCGCAUGACAUAUCGGAACCACAUGGUUCUGAUAUCAAAGAUUUUAUCGCUUGAAGAUGGACUCGCGUCCGAUUAGUUAGUUGGUGAGGUAACGGCUCACCAAGACCGCGAUCGGUAGCCGGACUGAGAGGUUGAACGGCCACAUUGGGACUGAGACACGGCCCAGACUCCUACGGGAGACAGCAGUGGGGGAUAUUGCGCAAUGGGGGCAACCCUGACGCAGCAACGCCGCGUGAAGGAUGAAGGUUUUCGGAUUGUAAACUUCUUUUAUUAAGGACGAAAAUUGACGGUACUUAAUGAAUAAGCUCCGGCUAACUACGUGCCAGCAGCCGCGGUAAUACGUAGGGAGCAAGCGUUGUCCGGAUUUACUGGGUGUAAAGGGUGCGUAGGCGGCUUUGCAAGUCAGAUGUGAAAUCUAUGGGCUCAACCCAUAAACUGCAUUUGAAACUGUAGAGCUUGAGUGAAGUAGAGGCAGGCGGAAUUCCCCGUGUAGCGGUGAAAUGCGUAGAGAUGGGGAGGAACACCAGUGGCGAAGGCGGCCUGCUGGGCUUUAACUGACGCUGAGGCACGAAAGCGUGGGUAGCAAACAGGAUUAGAUACCCUGGUAGUCCACGCUGUAAACGAUGAUUACUAGGUGUGGGGGGUCUGACCCCUUCCGUGCCGGAGUUAACACAAUAAGUAAUCCACCUGGGGAGUACGGCCGCAAGGUUGCAACUCAAAGGAAUUGACGG